RNAcentral lists this ribosomal RNA (500 nucleotides) under uncultured Glomeromycotina. RNAcentral describes it as "partial small subunit ribosomal RNA". It matches the Rfam family "Eukaryotic small subunit ribosomal RNA", at positions 591 to 1092 of the family's 1831-position model. The record is from RNAcentral. Lineage: Eukaryota; Fungi; Glomeromycota.
CCAAUAGCGUAUAUUAAAGUUGUUGCAGUUAAAAAGCUCGUAGUUGAAUUUCGGGGUCAGUAGGUUGGUCAUGCCACUGGUAUGUACUGAUCUUACUGAUUCCUCCUUCCUGAUGAACCGUAAUGCCAUUAAUUUGGUGUUGCGGGGAGACUGGACUGUUACUUUGAAAAAAUUAGAGUGUUUAAAGCAGGCUAACGCUUGAAUACAUUAGCAUGGAAUAAUGAAAUAGGACGUUCGAUCCUAUUUUGUUGGUUUCUAGGAUAGACGUAAUGAUUAAUAGGGAUAGUUGGGGGCAUUAGUAUUCAAUUGUCAGAGGUGAAAUUCUUGGAUUUAUUGAAGACUAACUACUGCGAAAGCAUUUGCCAAGGAUGUUUUCAUUAAUCAAGAACGAAAGUUAGGGGAUCGAAGACGAUCAGAUACCGUCGUAGUCUUAACCAUAAACUAUGCCGACUAGGGAUCAGAUGAUGUUAAUUUUUUAAUGACUCAUUCGGCGCCUUACG